This 1120-nucleotide long non-coding RNA is filed under the name Nicotiana benthamiana. RNAcentral's name for it is "long non-coding RNA (NBEN_LNC036841)". The record is from RNAcentral. Lineage: Eukaryota; Viridiplantae; Streptophyta; Magnoliopsida; Solanales; Solanaceae.
CGCACUACUGAUUUGUAAUUCAAAUUACUUGGACCACAUUAAGGAAGGAAGUCAAUAGCGAACAGAUCUAACCGAACAAAACAGACAUGCCACUUACUGUAAUUUUCGACCAAGAACACUUGGUUUAAAACACACACAAUAUAAGAGAAAUAUACCACACAUAGUCAGGCUAAGAAUAAACCACAUUAAUAGUCAGGCUAAGAAUAAACCACAUCAACUCAUUUAUUCAGUCCAAUUUAAGAACUCACAAGCACACAAGGUCACCAAAAUAGGAGAGUAGGAAGUCAAAAAUAGACUGAGAUGUGCCUUUUUUAAACGAAUAAGGUCAGUAAAUACAAAGAUUUUCCCUGCCAGACUGUGUGCGUGACUCGGCGAUGAAAUUUGAUCGGAAAAUCAGCUACAAAAUCAUAGACAAUUACUGCGAGCUCCGACCUCGACUGACAGCCUUACUCAAACAUCAACUCCAACAUAUUGGAAAUCGGAACCAACAGAAUAGACCGUUAAUGUGUAAAGCAAUAUGUUUUUCUGAAAUUGCUUCCAGAUUAAUAGAACUUUAUCGACCAUAACAAGCCGAAAAUAGAAGUUUCGUUGAUGAAAUUUCCAGUGUAUACACGGACAAAAAUGGAGAAAACGCUACAACCAAAACUCAAAACAAAAAUCAAACUCAAAUGGGAUUACGAACACCACUGCAGACGACACCUCGAACAGUCACCGAAGCAAUGAAACUCAAACAAACUCCAUUCCCAGAAUUGAAUCAAUUUCCAUUGAAAUCAGAAGAAGCAAAACUUUUAAACUUAAAGGAACUCAUCAACAACACUGAAAAUCCAAACCAUCACCACGAAAUUGAAGCAAUUGUGUAUCCCUGUGUGCUUUCAUGUGUGUGUGUGUGUGUUUCUGAUGAUGGAUGUUGAAAGGUCGCUGGAUAAUGUUCUAAAGUUUCAGAUCUGUUCCACGGUUGAAGGGUCAAGGUAAUGAAUAAAUAUGGGGCUGCUUUGUGUUAGAUAGUAAGAUGGGGGUGCUCCUGGGUGUCAGCGGCAGGUCCUCUGCUUUUUAUUUUGUGUAGAAGAAGAACCAACAGGAGAGUUUCCUAUUGCAGCACAACUUUUUCCCUUUUCUGUGC